Molecule: ribosomal RNA, 502 nt
Filed under: uncultured bacterium
Lineage: Bacteria
Description: partial 16S ribosomal RNA
Rfam family: Bacterial small subunit ribosomal RNA
Source: RNAcentral
GACGAACGCUGGCGGCGUGCCUAAUACAUGCCAGUCGAACGAACCGCGACUGAGUGCUUGCACUUGGUCAAGGUGAGUGGCGAACGGGUGAGUAACACGUGGGUAACCUACCUCAUAGUGGGGGAUAACAGUCGGAAACGACUGCUAAUACCGCAUAGGACAUGGAAUCACAUGAUUCUGUGAGGAAAGGUGGCGCAAGCUAUCGCUAAGAGAUGGACCCGCGGUGCAUUAGCUAGUUGGUAGGGUAAGGGCCUACCAAGGCGAUGAUGCAUAGCCGACCUGAGAGGGUGAUCGGCCACAUUGGGACUGAGACACGGCCCAAACUCCUACGGGAGGCAGCAGUAGGGAAUCUUCCGCAAUGGACGCAAGUCUGACGGAGCAACGCCGCGUGAGUGAAGAAGGUCUUCGGAUCGUAAAGCUCUGUUGUUAGAGAAGAACAGCGCAUAGAGUAACUGUUAUGCGUGUGACGGUAUCUAACCAGAAAGCCACGGCUAACUACGUG